UUGAAUCGAGAUCCGACUAUAAUCAUUAGUGAUUCUGAUGGAGAAGAUAAUACUUCUGAUUCAUCUGACUUUAGCGGGCCUUCAUCUAAACGGAGAAAGACACGGUCCAGAAAGAGAGGUAGUAAAUCCAAGAUAGAAUCUGCAGACCUGAGUGGUGUAGAGAGUGCGCUGGAGUUCGACCUGAGUGGUGUAGAGAGAGCGCUGGAGUUCGAUCAAAGUUGUGUAGAGAGAGCGCUGGAGUUCGACCUGAGUGGUGUAGAGAGAGCGCUGCUGGAGUUUGAUGAUGAGUUAUUUCCAAUGGUUUCUGCUGAAGAGGCUCCAUUUGAUUUACCUUUACCUAAGCUGCCAAGGAAGAAAAAAGCAAAGAAGACAAAAAAGGGAGAUCCUAAACCAGUGUUGUUAUGGCAUGCUUGGAAACAGGAACAUGAGAAGUGGAUCGAUCAGAAUUUGCUGGAAGAUGUUACCCUCGAUCAGAGUGAAGUGAUGAAUGAGA
Molecule: long non-coding RNA, 493 nt
Filed under: Medicago truncatula (barrel medic)
Lineage: Eukaryota; Viridiplantae; Streptophyta; Magnoliopsida; Fabales; Fabaceae
Description: long non-coding RNA (MTRU_LNC001767)
Source: RNAcentral